RNAcentral lists this ribosomal RNA (821 nucleotides) under Leucocoprinus birnbaumii. RNAcentral describes it as "eukaryotic LSU rRNA". It matches the Rfam family "Eukaryotic large subunit ribosomal RNA", at positions 73 to 881 of the family's 3401-position model. The record is from RNAcentral. Lineage: Eukaryota; Fungi; Basidiomycota; Agaricomycetes; Agaricales; Agaricaceae.
GAUUCCCCUAGUAACUGCGAGUGAAGCGGGAAAAGCUCAAAUUUAAAAUCUGGCGGUCUCUGGCCGUCCGAGUUGUAAUCUAGAGAAGUGAUGCCCGCGCUGGACCGUGUACAAGUCUCCUGGAAUGGAGCGUCAUAGAGGGUGAGAAUCCCGUCUCUGACACGGACUACCAGGGCUUUGUGGUACGCUCUCAAAGAGUCGAGUUGUUUGGGAAUGCAGCUCAAAAUGGGUGGUAAAUUCCAUCUAAAGCUAAAUAUUGGCGAGAGACCGAUAGCGAACAAGUACCGUGAGGGAAAGAUGAAAAGAACUUUGGAAAGAGAGUUAAACAGUACGUGAAAUUGCUGAAAGGGAAACGCUUGAAGUCAGUCGCGUUGGCCGGGGAUCAGCCUCGCUNUUGCGUGGUGUACUUUCCGGUUGACGGGUCAGCAUCAAUUUUGACCGCUGGAAAAAGGCUUGAGGAAUGUGGCAGCUCCGGCUGUGUUAUAGCUUCUUGUCACAUACAGCGGUUGGGAUUGAGGUACUCAGCACGCCGCAAGGCCGGGUUUCGACCACGUUCGUGCUUAGGAUGCUGGCAUAAUGGCUUUAAGCGACCCGUCUUGAAACACGGACCAAGGAGUCUAACAUGCCUGCGAGUGUUUGGGUGGAAAACCCGAGCGCGUAAUGAAAGUGAAAGUUGAGAUCCCUGUCGCGGGGAGCAUCGACGCCCGGACCAGAACUUUUGGGACGGAUCCGCGGUAGAGCAUGUAUGUUGGGACCCGAAAGAUGGUGAACUAUGCCUGAAUAGGGUGAAGCCAGAGGAAACUCUGGUGGAGGCUCGUAGC